RNAcentral lists this small RNA (83 nucleotides) under Marmota monax (woodchuck). The record is from RNAcentral. Lineage: Eukaryota; Metazoa; Chordata; Mammalia; Rodentia; Sciuridae.
GCUGGUUGUGGUGGUCCACAUCUGUGAUCCCAGCUACUCAGGAGGCUGAGGCAGGAGGGUUGCAAGUUCAAAGCCAGCCUCAG